GCCGGGCGUGGUGGCUCACGCCUGUAAUCCCAGCACUUUGGGAGGCUGAGGCGGGUGGAUCACCUGAGGUCAGGAGUUCGAGACCAGCCUGGCCAACAUGGUGAAACCUUGUCUCUA
This 117-nucleotide non-coding RNA is filed under the name Pan paniscus (pygmy chimpanzee). The record is from Rfam by way of RNAcentral. RNAcentral also lists the same sequence under 1 other name. Lineage: Eukaryota; Metazoa; Chordata; Mammalia; Primates; Hominidae.